AAGGGGGGCCCGGAACGUGACCCCACUUGCUGGGUGAGCGGGAAGGGCCGCAGAGACCAGGGGAAAGCGACUGUUUACUAAAAACACAGGUCCGUGCGAAGUUGCAAGACGAUGUAUACGGACUGACUCCUGCCCGGUGCUGGAAGGKUAAGAGGACGGGUUAGACGCAAGUCGAAGCUCAGAAUUUAAGCCCCAGUAAACGGCGGUGGUAACUAUAACCAUCCUAAGGUAGCGAAAUUCCUUGUCGGGUAAGUUCCGACCUGCACGAAUGGAGUAACGACUUUCCUACUGUCUCAACCAUGGACUCGGCGAAAUUGCACUACGAGUAAAGAUGCUCGUUACGCGCGGCAGGACGGAAAGACCCCGGGACCUUUACUAUAGUUUGGCAUUGGUGUUUGGUUCGGCUUGUGUAGGAUAGGUGGGAGACUGUGAAGCCUCGACGCCAGUUGGGGUGGAGUCAUCGUUGAAAUACCACUCUGGUCGUACUAGAUGUCUAACCUAGGGCCAUGAUCUGGUUCAGGGACAGUGCCUGAUGGGUAGUUUAACUGGGGCGGUUGCCUCCCAAAAUGUAACGGAGGCGCUCAAAGGUUCCCUCAGCCUGGUUGGCAAUCAGGUUUCGAGUGUAAGUGCACAAGGGAGCUUGACUGUGAGACAGACAUGUCGAGCAGGGACGAAAGUCGGAACUAGUGAUCCGGCGACUCCGAGUGGAAGGGUCGUCGCUCAACGGAUAAAAGGUACCCCGGGGAUAACAGGCUGAUCUUCCCCAAGAGUCCAUAUCGACGGGAUGGUUUGGCACCUCGAUGUCGGCUCGUCGCAUCCUGGGGCUGGAGUAGGUCCCAAGGGUUGGGCUGUUCGCCCAUUAAAGCGGCACGCGAGCUGGGUUUAGAACGUCGUGAGACAGUUCGGUCCCUAUCCGCCGCGCGCGUAGGAAACUUGAGAAAGGCUGUCCCUAGUACGAGAGGACCGGGAUGGACGAACCUCUGGUGUGCCAGUUGUACCGCCAGGUGCAGGGCUGGUUGGCUACGUUCGGAAGUGAUAACCGCUGAACGCAUCUAAGCGGGAAGCACGUUUCAAGAUGAGGUUUCCCACCCCUUGUGGGUUAAGGCCCCCAGCAGAACACUGGGUUGAUAGGCCGGAGGUGUACAGCAGCAAUGCCCAGCCGACCGGUACUAAUAGGCCGAAGACUUGCCAC
RNAcentral lists this ribosomal RNA (1192 nucleotides) under Nocardioides sp. J9. Its description in RNAcentral is "partial 23S ribosomal RNA". It matches the Rfam family "Bacterial large subunit ribosomal RNA", at positions 1743 to 2925 of the family's 2925-position model. The record is from RNAcentral. Lineage: Bacteria; Bacillati; Actinomycetota; Actinomycetes; Propionibacteriales; Nocardioidaceae.